ACGUAGGGACAGAGCCGACCGACGUGGAGACGGUUACUAUCGCUACUGAAGAGGUGGUACCCAGUUCACAGUUUCUAAGUCAGAGUGAUGAUGGGGAGAGUGUGGAGCAGCUACAGGCCAGUGACUUGGGCCCUAACUUUGGCCUUGUGCAUGAUACCCAGGUAACACACACACACACAGUUCACACCAAGUAACAGAAAAACUAGCACUUAAAAACGCUUUUUUAAAGGUAUCCGGCUUCUAAGAUGUUUCGUUUUCGUAUUAUUAACGCUUUCGUGUUACAUGUUAGAAUUUGCAUGAUGGUAACUACCUCCCAAAUAACGAACACACACACACACACACACACACACACUUGUUGUUCCCGCCCACUCACACAGGAGGUCCACACGCUAACUAGCGAUGAUGGUUUGCCCUCUGACAUGACCUCUGAGGAUGGCUCCACCCUCAACGCUAUAGGCCACGCCCUCAUCCAGAUGCAGCAAGGUGGACAGACCACCCCCUCAUCUCAGUUCCUCAUCACUAGGAGCACCUCAUCUGGUUCAGAGUCUGGGCAAAAAUUAAUGGUGAAUAAAGAAGACCAAAUUUAUCAGUGUGACGAUUGCUUUUUUGCCAAAUCCAAAAGUUAUAAUCCUCGAUAAGUUAUCCAAGUGCUUGUACAUACUAAUUACAUGUAGAACCAUGAGUAUUAUUGCUAAUGUUUGAUAUAAAAUAAUUAUAAAAUAAGGUUUCUUGGAAGUGGUGUUGAAAAAUAGUCAGUUUUUACUAUGUUGUUGUGUGUGUUGAGGUCCUCUGUAUGUGAUGAUCCCACCAUCCAGUAGUGCUGAGAUACUGCAUGCAAUGGGUCGACCUAUAGCACCCAAGAUGAGCGGGAUAUCAACUAUGGAUUAUCACACGGCCGACCCCAUCGUUCAAAUGCAGUUGUGAGUACACAGUUCAUGUGAUUGCCUACCUCUGCAUAACAUGUAUGACAGUAUGUUAGGAAAAGCAUCAUUCUUGCUACAUACACAGGGUUCUACCUACAGUGGUCGUUUAGGUAAGCUGCGACCACCACUAGAUAUUUUCCGACCACCACUUAGCCUUUCCGACCACUGCUUUACAUUCUACAAGUGCUGGCUAGUCCAGUUUAGCUGCUAGUCUUCGCUUACCAGUUUUACUGUCUUGAUGUGCCUUAUAUAGAGCUAACUAUUAAUUGAACUCUACUUCAUGACCAGAACAAUUAAUUGAAUUAAUUGAAGCUGCAGCAUGGCUUUGUUGAGUUCGAGGAGUACUGCAGCUAGCUAGCAGCUAUACUCUGCCUUAAAACAGGGAGUUGGACCACCUGCUAAGGAAAAGACAAGCUAGAGAGUGAGCAACUGGGUGCAGUUAACACUUCCAAGUAAUGAUUAUGACCCGGCCUGCGAUGAAGAAAUCUUAGUAUAGCGCCAUACUGUACUGAUGCAAGUACAACAAUGUACAUAUAUAAUUAUUUCAGCUACAGUACCCAUCAAUAAAAAAUUCCCGUUCCGUUUGCGUAAAACGCACAAUUCCGGUUUAAACGCAUAAAAAAAAAACGCAUAAUGAACGCAUUGUAUUAUGCAAAACGCUACCGUUUUCACGCAUGUGCAGAAAAAUUGCUGAGUAAGCAGAUUCGUUAACUUGUGAUCGUGCAGUGCAGUGUAGCAGUAGCUAGCUAGCUAGCUUGUGUACUACAGUAUAGCUGAUUGUCUAGCGCUUUAAUCCUCUUAGUUAGCUUAUAGAUGCUAUUUUGCAACAGUGGACCGUUUCCCCAGUUGUUCUCGGUCUCACAUCAGCCCCAAGACUAAGUUGCCCUCCAUGCAAGUUAUUUGUGACCUGGAAUGACCGUUUUUGAAGACCAUCGUCUCUUCUCCAGUAUGUCUGACUGCGUACUUUAUAAUAACUAGCUAGCUAGCUAGCUCAUUGUACUACAAAUCAUACAGUAUCAUUGUCAGGGUUCUAUCUAGAAGAAAUAUUUUGUGGGGGGAAGCCUAAGGGGGGUCCAGGGGUCCUCCCCCGGAAAAUUUUUUAUUCUAGAUGGCCAGAGACGCAAUUUGAGCCAAAUAAGGUGGAAGGUUUGGGGGGGAAGCUUCCCCCUGCCCCCCCCCCCCCACUAGAUAGAACCCUGAUUGUGUAAGUAAUUUCAAUUUUUCAUGAUGACGUCACCAUUUUAAUUUAUAAUGAGAAAUUGGUCGCGUUGUGCAUCCAGUUUAACGCUACCGUUUAUACGUGCGUUUUUAGAAACGGAACGGAAACUUUUUAUUGAUGUAUACUGUAUAUACUUACAUGGCUUACAACACAUGCUUGUUCAAAUUUGUGUCUCCCUUCUCGUACACACCCCCCUGCAUGGGCAAAUUGUCCCCCAUCAUUUUUAACCACCUCUCAAAAUUCCUGGGCAGAACCCUGCAUACCGUAUUACUAGAAUACUUUGCUGUUGGUGAAAAACCUUUGCGAAUCAGCCAAAUCGGCAACCCUUUGCGAUCUAACUAUUGCGUUCUGGCAAGGAUCGUGUGUAUUUACCCAAAAUUAGGUUUUGCAAUUUUAUUGUUUAAAAAUUCGCAUAUGCUCGUAAAACAUUCUAGUAAUACGGUAACUGUGAGGAGUGUUGUUAUUAUGGUGGUUGGUUUGCAGGUCUGGGGAUAUGGCGGCCAACAGGGAAGCUCAGAGGAAGGCUACACACAAUGAAGUUGAGCGUCGGCGUCGGGACAGGAUCAACGAGCUCAUCAAGAUACUGGCUCAGAUAGUGCCUGCUUGUCAGAAGAAAGACGCAACUAUACUGGUUCCAUUGUCGGGUAUGUGUACAGCAAGGGAACGGUACUGGACAAGACAGUGGACUACUUGAAAAAGCUCGUAUUUCAAUCCUCUCAACAAUAGUGUAUAGUAUAUUAUAAUAUAAUAAUAAUAGUAUAUCCUCCAUUGCGAGCACGACCACUUCUCCGUCCACUCCUGUACCGAAAUCCUCCAUGCUGUCACAAGCCAACAACAAUGGCGGGGGUGGUGGUGGUGGUGGUCUCUCUGCCGCGGCUGCUGCUAGUCUGCUCAACACUCUGAUUCUGGCUCAGAAUGUGCUCACAAGCAACUCAAGUGCUGGUAGCCCCGGGCAAGAUUCAAUGUCUAUGGAAACGGUGGACCAAUCCUCUCAACAGUAGUGUACAGUAUAUUAUAAUUGUGGACUGUUUAUACUGUUCUAGUUUUAACGUGUGUUUUUUAGUAAUCUCUCCUUCACUUACUAUAGCUACAUUGUCAGUAUUAUUAUGUAUACAUAGUUUUUAUACAUGAUAUUUGUGUGGAGCUCUUUGAGAAAAAUAUUGUAGCAAAGCCCAUUUAUAUGUAACCACGCCCAUUAUAAUUAUGUGCAGCCUAGCCUCCAUCUCAAGCCGCACUUCCUCGAAAGUUGGCCUGGUAAGACACUGCUUGUGCAUUGCUAACCAUUAGCUGGCAUUGAGAAGAACCUUCAUCAAGAACAAGGUACGUGUGUAUAAUGUGUAGUUAUGCAGUGCAAUGAGUCCACUGUGUACUAUUGAAUGUACAGUACAAAGAAUGGGAACCUAGCAUGCUUACUAGUCUGUAUGUACAUGCACUUGUAUACAAGGUAUGCUUCAAUGUAUGCAGUUUAGGUGUGUACAGGGAAACGUGUGUCAAUUGAGAACACUAGCUCACAAUAUUUGUACAUGACAUUGUACAGUACGUGUACCAGACCCUUCAUCACACUACCAAUUUGAAUGUGUCCAUGUGUUGUUUAUCCUGGCUACAGGACACUGCCGAGGGUAGCACUUCAGUGCUCUAGUUCUAAUUGUAGAUUGACUGAUCGAUUUGUCUUCUGUACUAUUGUUUGAUUUUUCUGCCCCUCAUCUUUUCCGGCCCCCAGUUAUGCGGCCAUUUUUCAGCCCGGCCAAGUGUUGAGGAGACAAGAAGAGGCACUGAGAAUGGAGGUAGAGGCGUACUAUGCUGCUAAGAAGGCCACUCAGUGUGACUAUGACCGUGUGACUCUUUAACCCCUCAGUUCCAUUAGGAUAACUGGGGGCCGGAAAAGAUAAGCCUACUAUGCUGCUAAGAAAGAGAGGGGCCUCACGUAAACUGGCCACUCAGUGUGACUAUGAUCAUGUGAAUCUUUAACCCCUCAGUUCCCGAGCCCCACCCCUCACUGUCUGACUCGGAAGAGGAGAUAGACUUUGUAUUCUGUGAGAAGGCGUCCACCCUACCCUCGGACAAGACCCCAACCAAGGACCUGAACUUGUUAUGAGACUGUUAAAUAUUAUUUUGUCUGUUUUUGUACUAUUUUCUGGCAAUGUAAUUAUGUAUGUACCACUUCAUGUCAUCAUAAUAACUAUAAUUAUAUGCGAUAAAAUUCUGUUGCAACUUAAUUGUCUCAACAUAAUAAAAAGAAUAUCAAUAUCAUUAUAAACUCA
Long non-coding RNA from Halichondria panicea, 4403 nucleotides. RefSeq lists it as uncharacterized. Lineage: Eukaryota; Metazoa; Porifera; Demospongiae; Suberitida; Halichondriidae. The transcript is spliced from 4 exons. The record is from RefSeq and is a predicted model, not a curated record.